CCUGUUGAUCCUGCAGGAGAUUGCUGCUAUUGGAAUUCGACUAAGCCAUGCAAGUCAGAGGGUCUCUUCGGAGGCACAGGCGUCAUGCUCAGUAACACGUCAAUAAUCUGCCCUUAGGUCUGGCAUAACCUCGGGAAACUGAGGCUAAAACCGGAUAAGCGAGAACAUCUGGAAUGAGUUCUCGAUUAAAGGCAACGCCUAAGGAUGAGUUGGCGGCAGAUUAGGUUGUUGGUGGGGUAAAGGCCCACCAAGCCGAAGAUCUGCAGGGGCCAUGAGAGUGGGAACCCCGAGAAGGGUACUGAAACACUGACCCUAGCCCUACGGGGUGCAGCAGGCGCGAAACCUUUACACUGCACGCAAGUGCGAUAAGGGGAUUCCAAGUGCUCAUGCUUUGCAUGGGCUUUUGCCAAGUGUAAAAGGCUUGGCGAAUAAGGGGUGGGUAAGACUGGUGCCAGCCGCCGCGGUAACCCCAGCGCCCCAAGUGGCAAUCGCGUUUAUUGGGCCUAAAGCGUUCGUAGCCGGUUUAGUAAGUUCCAGGUGAAAUCGUUCUGCUUAACAGAACGGCGUGCUUGGAGUACUACUUUACUUGGGACCGGGAGGAGUCAGAGGUAUUCCGGGGGGACCGGUAAAAUGGGAUAAUCCCCGGAGGACCACCUGUGGCGAAGGCGUCUGACUAGAACGGAUCCGACGGUGAGGGACGAAAGCUAGGGGAGCGAACCGGAUUAGAUACCCGAGUAGUCCUAGCUGUAAACGCUGCGAGCUAGAUGGUGCAUAUUCUACAUGAAUGUGCAGUGUCGGAGCGAAGGCAUUAAGCUCGCCGCCUGGGAAGUACGGUCGCAAGGCUGAAACUUAAAGGAAUUGGCGGGGGAGCACCACCAGGGGUGCGGCGUGCGGUUUAAUCUAAUUCCACGCAGAGCAUCUCACCAGAAGCGACGGCAGGAUGAAGGUCAGAUUGAAUGUCUUACCUGACGAGCCGAGAGGUAGUGCAUGGCCGUCGUCAGCUCGUACCGUGAGGUGUCCGGUUAAGUCCGGCAACGAGCAAGACCUGUACCUAUAAUUGCUAACAGAUCUUUUUAGAUGACUGAGCACAUUAUGGGGACUGCUGCGGAAACGCAGAGGAAGGUGCAGGCAACGAUAGGUCUGUAUGCUCCGAAUCUUCUGGGCUACACGCGCGCAACAAUGGUAGAGACAAUGGGAUGCAACUCCGAAAGGAGAAGCCAAUCCUCGAAACUCUAUCUAGUUCAGAUCGAGGACUGUAACUCGUCCUCGUGACGCCGGAAUCCCUAGUAAUCGCGUGUCAUCAUCGCGCGGUGAAUAUGUCCCUGCUCCUUGUACACAUCGCCCGUCAAAUCAACCGAGCCGAGCUA
This 1367-nucleotide ribosomal RNA is filed under the name metagenome. RNAcentral's name for it is "bacterial SSU rRNA". It matches the Rfam family "Archaeal small subunit ribosomal RNA". The record is from RNAcentral.